GCGGCGUGCCUAACACAUGCAAGUCGAACGAGAAAGUGGAGCAAUCCAUGAGUAAAGUGGCGACCGGGUGAGUAACACGUGACUAACCUGCCUUCGAGUGGGGGAUAACCUCGGGAAACCGGGGCUAAUACCGCAUAAUGCCUUCGGGUUAAAGAAGCAAUUCGCUUGAAGAGGGGGUCGCGGCUGAUUAGCUAGUUGGUGAGGUAACGGCUCACCAAGGCGAUGAUCGGUAGCCGGCCUGAGAGGGCGCACGGCCACACUGGAACUGAAACACGGUCCAGACUCCUACGGGAGGCAGCAGUGGGGAAUUUUGCGCAAUGGGGGAAACCCUGACGCAGCAACGCCGCGUGGAGGAUGAAGUCCCUUGGGACGUAAACUCCUUUCGACCGGGACGAUGAUGACGGUACCGGUGGAAGAAGCCCCGGCUUAACUUCGUGCC
RNAcentral lists this ribosomal RNA (439 nucleotides) under uncultured bacterium. RNAcentral describes it as "bacterial SSU rRNA". It matches the Rfam family "Bacterial small subunit ribosomal RNA", at positions 39 to 509 of the family's 1533-position model. The record is from RNAcentral.